This 318-nucleotide non-coding RNA is filed under the name Gossypium arboreum. RNAcentral describes it as "Bacterial small subunit ribosomal RNA". It matches the Rfam family "Bacterial small subunit ribosomal RNA", at positions 153 to 536 of the family's 1533-position model. Lineage: Eukaryota; Viridiplantae; Streptophyta; Magnoliopsida; Malvales; Malvaceae. The record is from Rfam by way of RNAcentral.
GAGAUAUAUGAAUAUAUGCCAAUGCCCUCUAGGUUGAGGAGUAAAAGGAGGAAUUCAUUUAAGAAGGGGCUCAUUAGUUGUUGAGGCAAUAACUUACUAUGGCGAUGAUCAGCCAUAUAAGGACUAAGACACAACUCAGACUCCUAUGAGAGGUAAUAGUGAAGAAUUUUCCUAAUAGGCAAAAGCUUGAUGAAGUAAUGUCGCGUAGAGGUAGAAGACUCAUGGGUUGUGAACUUUUCCCAAAGAAGUAAUGACACUAUUUGAGGAAUAAACAUGAACUAACUUUAUGUCAAUAGUCACGAUAAUACAGAAGAUGCA